RNAcentral lists this long non-coding RNA (799 nucleotides) under Equus caballus (horse). RNAcentral's name for it is "lncRNA (ENSECAG00000045837.1)". The record is from RNAcentral. Lineage: Eukaryota; Metazoa; Chordata; Mammalia; Perissodactyla; Equidae.
GCUGCUGAAGCUCCACCCAGCCCCGGGACCUCUCCCAGAUCUUCAGUAGUCCUGAUCCCCUCCCGGGCGAGAGCCCGGUCAGGGGAGCCAGCGGCGGCAGCUGGUGGGCCGGCGCGCCGCUUGAGAUUCUCUCCGGGGGCCCCCAGGUGUUGUGGGUGCUGGGCGGGGCCUCUCCGAUAAUGGCAGGGAAAGACUCUGCCUGCGGCCAGGACUGAACUCUAGAGUUUCUCCCCCGGGCCGUGUAGCCAAUCGCUGGAGCUCCACUCAGCCCCAGACCUCUCCCAGGAGAUCUCCGGUAGUCUCGAUCCCCUCCUGGACGAAAACCAGGUCAGGGGAGCCGGCGGCGGCAGCUGGUGGGCCAGCGCGCCGCUUGGGAUUCUCUCCGGGGGGCCCCCAGGCUUUGUGGAUGCUGGACGGGACCUCUCUGCUAAUGGCAGAGUACAGGACACGACUCCAGUGUUGGUGUUGCAGACUUGGUCCAUUUUCACAUCAUAAAACUUCUUAUGGUUGCGGAAGCGCGUUUCCUCUCCCAGGACCAAGCCUGUGGAACUGGGGCAGAGACACAGCUCACUGGUGGACCUCUUGCUGCACUCAGACGCGUUCUGUCUACCCCUGUGUCUAAGGCUUUGUCCAUGGGUCUGACUUAACUUACUGGGUCCCUCUCCCCUUAAAAUGGGCUCCUUCAAUAAACAGACCUCUCUUGGCCUCAACAGUACUCAAUAAUACACACCCACAUUUUACUCUCGGCUGAGACCCCAGUAGAUCCCAUGUUAAAAUGUAUUUAUAUGGUGUAUGCAUG